GCUUCAAUGGUCUAGUGGUAUGAUUCGCCCUUAGGGUAUGUGCACUAUCUUGGGCGAGGCCCCAGGUUCAAUCCCUGGUUGGAGCC
Non-coding RNA from Ceratobasidium sp. AG-I, 86 nucleotides. The record is from the annotation of a GenBank genome assembly. NCBI's taxonomy places the organism in Eukaryota, Fungi, Basidiomycota, Agaricomycetes, Cantharellales, Ceratobasidiaceae.